This is a long non-coding RNA of Mus musculus (house mouse), 1632 nucleotides long. RefSeq annotates it as predicted gene, 31683. The transcript is spliced from 3 exons. The record is from RefSeq and is a predicted model, not a curated record. NCBI's taxonomy places the organism in Eukaryota, Metazoa, Chordata, Mammalia, Rodentia, Muridae.
AGAGGUGCCUCCAGCAGGCUGCCUUCUGGAACGGAGCGACCAGACCGGGAGCGGACAGUCUCAAGCGUCAGCCCCACCCACCUCCCCUCAGUCCAUCUAAACUGCUCUUUUCUCCUGCGUACACCCCUCAUCUCCUACAAGAGUACUGCUACUGGGAACCGAAUCUCUGUCUCCCACAAGCUAAGCAUGAAGUCUCCACCAAGCUCCAACCGGACUGGGAGACGAGACAUUUUACAACAUAGCUGCUGCCAGAAGCCUGUAUCUCCAGGGUCCCAUUGUCUGCACAUCUCCAAAUAAAUGGAAACACAACAAGACAGCUGGUUGCUUUUGCUCAACUUCUAACUUUAAUAACCCUAUGAAAUUUCUGAAGUGGUUUUUAGUUUACCCAAUCCACAACAGAAAAAGUCAUUUGAGACAGUUUAUUAGGACAGAGUUCUUGGGCAAAUCACCAAAUUCGGACAUUUCUUUUGCUCCCUGGGAAAAUUAUAGCUGACACAAACUUGCCUGCAAGAUACGUCCUUCCUGUACAAGCAUAGUAUUUGAUUCCCCGCUGAUCGAACCGGCUUUCCUUUCAAAGUGCUGGUCCAGGGAACAGAGAUUAUUUAAAAAUUAUUGUCAUAAUGUAUUUUUUCCUUUUCUCUCCUUUUUCCUUUCUCUCUUCUCUUUUUCUUUUCUUUCACUGUUUUUUUUUUUUUUGUAAAUAUGAGCAUUUACUCAGUUUCAAAGUUGCUAUACUUGAAGUCACUAAUGUUUAAAAUGAACGUAACUAGCCAGAAAUCUUAUUUUGCCUAAGACAGUGAAACUGUGCCUGCAGCACCAUUUGCGUAUUCCAUCAGAAUUUGUUCGAGUGUCUGGAAGCUGGCCUAUCUGUACUGACAGGAGUUGCUGAGCUACAGGAGAAAACCUUUCUGACCAGCCAGUGAGGCACAGAGCAGUUAUCACAGAAGGCAUCGCUGAAGAAAACAGAGAUAUCUAAGGUGCUGAGUCUGGCCUGAAACUAUGUAGCUAAGGAUGACCUUGAACUCCUGCGCUCUCUACCUGCUGAGAGCUUGGAUUGCAUGUACCAGUAUAUACAGUACUAGAGAUCAAACCCAGGGAGUUGUGCAUCUCCUAGCAACCGAACUACAUUUUCAUUCUAAUUCUUGAUUUCGACAUGCCUUGGAAAGAGAUGGGGAUGUCUGUGCAUCAUCUGCAUGCCUGGGGCCAGGGAGGCCAGAAGAGAGCAUUGGAUUCUCUGGAGUCACAGACUGGUGUGAGUUGCCACGUAGGUGCUGGGAACAGAACCUCGGUCCUCUGAACCUGGGUCCUAGCAGCCAGUGCUCUUAACUGCUGAGCCAUCUCUGUCCAGCACUUUUAUCCCAUCUGCCUUCUUAAGUAAAAACAGAUACUAGGAUAAGAAAAAAAAAAAGCUGUAAUAACAACUCCAGAAGAAGGACCCUACAUAGUGCCUUGCGGAUAAUGCAUUGGAUUGCAUGGAAAAAGAUAAAGAAUUUUCCCGUGGCAUUGGCAGUGGCUAGCAGCUCUAUACAUUCAGUGAAUAGAAUCGUUAGAGCAGUUUAUACAUCUUCACAGGGGUCAGGUGAGAGGUCAGGUGACAAAAUCAGCUGCAUUACUGGAAAACAGUCAUGUUAA